UUUCACCGAGCCGAGCAGGAGGGGGUUUCCGGCUGGUCGGUCCUGGCCGUAGGUGGCCAGGAGGGCCUGGGCUUC
This 75-nucleotide antisense RNA is filed under the name Streptomyces scabiei. Its description in RNAcentral is "Aspks sRNA". It matches the Rfam family "ASpks TB sRNA". The record is from RNAcentral. Lineage: Bacteria; Bacillati; Actinomycetota; Actinomycetes; Kitasatosporales; Streptomycetaceae.